This 65-nucleotide non-coding RNA is filed under the name unclassified sequences. RNAcentral describes it as "L2-Alphaproteobacteria ribosomal protein leader". It matches the Rfam family "L2-Alphaproteobacteria ribosomal protein leader". The record is from RNAcentral.
GGGGAUCUUCGGAGCCCGUUCACCCGCAGGCCGCAAGGUCUGUGCAAGCAAACGGAAGACAGAGA